AAUUAAAAAAAGGUGCAACAUUUUUUCUUCAACAAAAGAAUACAUCACAAGAAUAUAAGUUUUGUAAGAAACGUGAGAAAUUGUGUUGGACUUGAAGAUAAGGCAAAGUGACAAAUAUCUGAAAGAAUGAAUCGUUUCAUGGUAUUAAACAAAGAAAUCAAAUUAUUUUUAUAAUUAUCCAGAACUCUUCACAAACGAAACCCACAUGUAUAUGCAUUGAAUAAAUAGUAGGCC
RNAcentral lists this long non-coding RNA (234 nucleotides) under Mytilus galloprovincialis (Mediterranean mussel). The record is from RNAcentral. Lineage: Eukaryota; Metazoa; Mollusca; Bivalvia; Mytilida; Mytilidae.